This 426-nucleotide ribosomal RNA is filed under the name uncultured bacterium. RNAcentral describes it as "bacterial SSU rRNA". It matches the Rfam family "Bacterial small subunit ribosomal RNA", at positions 356 to 773 of the family's 1533-position model. The record is from RNAcentral.
GGGGAAUUGUUCGCAAUGGGCGCAAGCCUGACGACGCAACGCCGCGUGGCGGAUGAAGAUCUUCGGGUCGUAAACUCCUUUCGAUCGAGACGAACGGCCUCCGGGUGAACAAUCCGGGGGAGUGACGGUACCGCGAGAAGAAGCCCCGGCUGACUCCGUGCAAGCAGCCGCGGUAAUACGGGGGGGGCAAGCGUUGUUCGGAAUUACUGGGCGUAAAGGGCUCGUAGGUGGCCAACUAAGUCAGACGUGAAAUCCCUCGGCUUAACCGGGGAACUGCGUCUGAUACUGGAUGGCUUGAGUUUGGGAGAGGGACGCGGAAUUCCAGGUGUAGCGGUGAAAUGCGUAGAUAUCUGGAGGAACACCGGUGGCGAAGGCGGCGUCCUGGACCAACACUGACACUGAUGAGCGAAAGCCAGGGGAGCAAAC